UACAGGGGGUGCAAACGUUGCUCGGAAUCACUGGGCUUAAAGGGCGCGUAGGCGGCUUGCCAAGUCAGGGGUGAAAUCUUUCGGCUUAACCGGAAAAGUGCCUUUGAUACUGGCAGGCUUGAGGGAGGUAGGGGCAUGUGGAACUUCCGGUGGAGCGGUGAAAUGCGUUGAUAUCGGAAGGAACGCCGGUGGCGAAAGCGACGUGCUGGACCUCUUCUGACGCUGAGGCGCGAAAGCUAGGGGAGCGAACGGG
Molecule: ribosomal RNA, 253 nt
Filed under: uncultured bacterium
Lineage: Bacteria
Description: partial 16S ribosomal RNA
Rfam family: Bacterial small subunit ribosomal RNA
Source: RNAcentral